GCUCAGUUGGUUAAGCUUCUGACUCCAGCUCAGGUCAUAGGUCGUGGGUUCGGAUCCCACACUGAGCC
This 68-nucleotide transfer RNA is filed under the name Felis catus (domestic cat). It matches the Rfam family "tRNA". Rfam says of the family: Transfer RNA (tRNA) molecules are approximately 80 nucleotides in length. Their secondary structure includes four short double-helical elements and three loops (D, anti-codon, and T loops). The record is from Rfam by way of RNAcentral. Lineage: Eukaryota; Metazoa; Chordata; Mammalia; Carnivora; Felidae.